This 302-nucleotide long non-coding RNA is filed under the name Ananas comosus (pineapple). RNAcentral's name for it is "long non-coding RNA (ACOM_LNC042351)". Lineage: Eukaryota; Viridiplantae; Streptophyta; Magnoliopsida; Poales; Bromeliaceae. The record is from RNAcentral.
AAAAAGUCGCGGCGCGGCCUUGACGGGAUUGGAGGCUAGGAAGGUGGGGGGUGCGUGGACGAGGGCAAGGGCGAGGGCGAGGGCGAGAGAAUGAGGGUGAGAGGCGAGACGGACCGUUUCCGCCUCCGCUCUGCCGGCGAGAAAAUAAAAAAGAACGAGAGAAACGAAGAGGAGAGAGAAAGUGGAAAGAGAAAAAGUAAAAGGGUAUUUUGGUCAGUUUGCUGAAAAAGCGGACUGAAUCUGCAAAAACGAGAAAGAUGGCCCGGUUUUGCAAAAGCCCAAAAUAAGUGAAUUUUUUAUGC